This 486-nucleotide ribosomal RNA is filed under the name uncultured bacterium. RNAcentral describes it as "partial 16S ribosomal RNA". It matches the Rfam family "Bacterial small subunit ribosomal RNA", at positions 30 to 507 of the family's 1533-position model. The record is from RNAcentral.
AUUGAACGCUGGCGGCAUGCCUUACACAUGCAAGUCGAACGGCAGCACGGGUGCUUGCACCUGGUGGCGAGUGGCGAACGGGUGAGUAAUACAUCGGAACAUGUCCUGUAGUGGGGGAUAGCCCGGCGAAAGCCGGAUUAAUACCGCAUACGAUCUACGGAUGAAAGCGGGGGACCUUCGGGCCUCGCGCUAUAGGGUUGGCCGAUGGCUGAUUAGCUAGUUGGUGGGGUAAAGGCCUACCAAGGCGACGAUCAGUAGCUGGUCUGAGAGGACGACCAGCCACACUGGGACUGAGACACGGCCCAGACUCCUACGGGAGGCAGCAGUGGGGAAUUUUGGACAAUGGGCGAAAGCCUGAUCCAGCAAUGCCGCGUGUGUGAAGAAGGCCUUCGGGUAGUAAAGCACUUUUGUCCGGAAAGAAAUCCUUGGCCCUAAUACGGUCGGGGGAUGACGGUACCGGAAGAAUAAGCACCGGCUAACUACGUG